UACGUAGGGUGCAAGCGUUGUCCGGAAUUAUUGGGCGUAAAGAGCUCAUAGGCGGUUUGUCGCGUCGAAUGUGAAAACCCGGGGCUCAACCCCGGGCCUGCAUUCGAUACGGGCAGACUAGAGUUCGGUAGGGGAGUCUGGAAUUCCUGGUGUAGCGGUGAAAUGCGCAGAUAUCAGGAGGAACACCGGUGGCGAAGGCGGGACUCUGGGCCGAUACUGACGCUGAGGAGCGAAAGCGUGGGGAGCGAACAGG
Molecule: ribosomal RNA, 253 nt
Filed under: uncultured bacterium
Lineage: Bacteria
Description: partial 16S ribosomal RNA
Rfam family: Bacterial small subunit ribosomal RNA
Source: RNAcentral